Molecule: ribosomal RNA, 265 nt
Filed under: uncultured bacterium
Lineage: Bacteria
Description: partial 16S ribosomal RNA
Rfam family: Bacterial small subunit ribosomal RNA
Source: RNAcentral
GACGCCUACGGGGGGCAGCAGUGAGGAAUAUUGGUCAAUGGGCGGUAGCCUGAACCAGCCAAGUAGCGUGAAGGAUGAAGGUUCUAUGGAUUGUAAACUUCUUUUAUAAAGGAAUAAAGUGAGGCACGUGUGCCUUUUUGUAUGUACUUUAUGAAUAAGGAUCGGCUAACUCCGUUCCAGCAGCCGCGGUAAUACGGAGUAUCCGAGCGUUAUCCGGAUUUAUUGGGUUUAAAGGGAGCGUAGAUGGGUAGAUAAGUCAGUUGUG